AUAUUGGACAAUGGGCGCAAGCCUGAUCCAGCAAUGCCGCGUGAGUGAUGAAGGCCUUAGGGUUGUAAAGCUCUUUUACCAGGGAUGAUAAUGACAGUACCUGGAGAAUAAGCUCCGGCUAACUCCGUGCCAGCAGCCGCGGUAAUACGGAGGGAGCUAGCGUUGUUCGGAAUUACUGGGCGUAAAGCGCGCGUAGGCGGCUACUCAAGUCAGGGGUGAAAGCCCGGGGCUCAACCCCGGAACUGCCUUUGAAACUAGGUAGCUAGAAUCUUGGAGAGGUCAGUGGAAUUCCGAGUGUAGAGGUGAAAUUCGUAGAUAUUCGGAAGAACACCAGUGGCGAAGGCGGCUCACUGGACGAUUGUUGACGCUGAGGUGCGAAAGCGUGGCGAGCAAACAGG
This 398-nucleotide ribosomal RNA is filed under the name uncultured bacterium. RNAcentral describes it as "bacterial SSU rRNA". It matches the Rfam family "Bacterial small subunit ribosomal RNA", at positions 361 to 776 of the family's 1533-position model. The record is from RNAcentral.